CCUACACGAAGCUGGAAUCGCUAGUAAUCGCGGAUCAGCACGCCGCGGUGAAUACGUUCCCGGGCCUUGUACACACCGCCCGUCACACCAUGAGAGUCUGUAACACCCAAAGCCGGUGGGACAACCUUUAUAGGAGUCAGCCGUCUAAGGUAGGACAGAUGAUUAGGGUGAAGUCGUAACAAGGUAUC
This 188-nucleotide ribosomal RNA is filed under the name uncultured bacterium. RNAcentral describes it as "partial 16S ribosomal RNA". It matches the Rfam family "Bacterial small subunit ribosomal RNA", at positions 1315 to 1500 of the family's 1533-position model. The record is from RNAcentral.